This 56-nucleotide transfer RNA is filed under the name Pheidole malinsii. RNAcentral's name for it is "tRNA-Ser". The record is from RNAcentral. Lineage: Eukaryota; Metazoa; Arthropoda; Insecta; Hymenoptera; Formicidae.
GAAAUAAACUAAAUGAACUUCUAAUUCAUAAUUUAUGAUAUUAUCAUAUUAUUUCU